This 414-nucleotide long non-coding RNA is filed under the name Dromaius novaehollandiae (emu). RNAcentral describes it as "lncRNA (ENSDNVG00000011568.1)". The record is from RNAcentral. Lineage: Eukaryota; Metazoa; Chordata; Aves; Casuariiformes; Dromaiidae.
ACAUAUAUGCCUUUUCUUUUGUUUCUCUGGGCAGGGAAUGGUCAUAGAAGAGCAGCAGUGUUGAGGCUGGCAGGGGCCUCGGGAGAUCGUCCGCUCCAACGCCCAGCCCACAGCAGGGUCAGCAGAGCAGUUGGGUUGUGAAUACGUCCGAAGAUGGAGACUCCACAACCACACUGAACCACCUAUUGAUGGAUGUGACUCGGGUUUUCCGAAGCCGAGGCGUUUCUGCAGGUCAGGUGCUGCCGCCGCUUGUGUUASGGCCACGCGCAGGAGAUGCAGCCGGGACCAAGUGCUUUUGAUCACGGAAUGUUGUCUGAAGAUCAGCUGGAACCUCYCCAAACUGAACUGCCAAUGUGUUCAUCCCUGCUGAGCGGGUGAGUUAAUUCUCCUAACAGCRGAAAUCUGUCUAUGACU